UACGUAGGGCCUAGCGUUGUCCGGAUUUAUUGGGCGUAAAGAGCUCGUAGGCGGCUUGGUAAGUCAGGUGUGAAAUCUCCACGCUCAACGUGGAGGGGCCACCCGAAACUGCCAUGGCUUGAGUCCGGUAGGGGAGUGUGGAAUUCCCGGUGUAGCGGUGAAAUGCGCAGAUAUCGGGAGGAACACCCGUAGCGAAGGCGGCACUCUGGGCCGGUACUGACGCUGAGACGCGAAAGCGUGGGGAGCGAACAGG
RNAcentral lists this ribosomal RNA (253 nucleotides) under uncultured bacterium. RNAcentral's name for it is "partial 16S ribosomal RNA". It matches the Rfam family "Bacterial small subunit ribosomal RNA", at positions 524 to 776 of the family's 1533-position model. The record is from RNAcentral.